Triticum dicoccoides is the source of this 2470-nucleotide long non-coding RNA. RefSeq lists it as uncharacterized. Lineage: Eukaryota; Viridiplantae; Streptophyta; Magnoliopsida; Poales; Poaceae. The record is from RefSeq and is a predicted model, not a curated record. The transcript has 7 exons.
GCCGCCUCCACCUCCCCUCCUGCCGCCGCCGCCGCCUCAGCCUCGGCCGGGCCGUGCUAUGCCGGCGCCCGUCGGCCUUGAUCCGGCCUCGCAGGAGGAGCUCGCCCUCAAGAAGGACUCGACAGGAGGAGGGGAGCAGUGCCUCUUCUCCUCCCCUUCGCUCUUCUCCUCCUCACGUUCUAGAUUGGGCACAAGUCACCACCAUACAAGAGCAUGGGUUGCAUGAUCUUCAUGGUGGGCGUGGUGGAGCAAGGAGGGAGGAGGAUAGCGAUGGGGGAAGGAGAAGCAAGGUUGGAGCUCCAGGCUCUACGUUGGCGUGCCGCUGGAGUGGAUGAGUGGUCGUCCGUUGCGCGCCGGCCGUCGUCCCCGUCCCCAAUCUGGGCUGCCUAGGUUUUACUGUUGUUCUCUGCAAAAUCAGCGUGAGUGCUUGAUGUUACCUCCAUCAGCUGAUGAGGCGAGGCUGCUGCUGCUGAAAAAUGGUGCUGCUACCGGAGGCAGUGGAGAGGCAUUCCGUGGACCAACUGUGGUGUGGUUCAGAUAGUCCAAGGAGUGGAAACUAUAACCUUGUCAAAUUCUACACAUAGCCAUUAUGACGACACAUUUAUGCGAUAGAUUGUCAAUAUUUAAGUUGAUACACUAAAGACGGAGAUGUGGAAAGCUUGCCACGGAGGCACACAGGCUUGCUGAUUCUGUUUUGGAUUUGUCCUUGAGAGGAGGCCGAAGCAAACUUCAACAGGCAUCAGGCCUUGUGGUCGGUUGCCAUUGUUGUGCAGUAAUUUCUCUCCGAAACACUCGUCCAAAUUUAUGAUUGGUUUCGCUGGCGCUGCAUGUAAGUGAGAUCUACUUAUUGUUCUAUUGGCUUUGCUCCGAUGAGUUCUUCCCCAUAUACCUCUUUGAUGAUUUUGCCACCAUAUGGUCGACCUGGUCUUAUCAAGGUUUAUCAUGGUUUUCGUGGUAGUGUGACUGGCUCACAGUACAUAAUUGUCUGCCUUCUCCACCAAAUGUAUGUGUUAUGAUAUUUUGUAAGGCUAGGCACACCCUAGGUUGUUUAAUGCUUUUGAUCUAGCUUGUUAUGAGAUAAUUAAACAAUCGUGUUUAUUUGCUCACGAGCAAGAUGAUGAUUUCAAGCCAAUGACUAUUUGCCCCUUUUAGAGUUUCUACCAUUUAAUUGUGUUGUUAUUUCCCUUAAUAGAAUAUUUGCUAAUGGUUAGACUACCUUGCGGUUAUUAUUCCUAUGGGCAAACAAAUAUAUGAUUAUUAAUAUUGCAUAGCUUGAACAAAAGCACAUGACCUGUCUUCUGCAUUGGUGGCUAAAAUUGAGAUACUUAUGCUUGUUGAUGCCUUCCCUUUUGUAGUAAAAUCCAUGCUUCUAGCGUAUGUAGACGCCUCUGGCGUCGAACUGAAGAGACGAGGAAGAAAGGGGAUACACAAGCUCGUUGGAUCCACUCGCUGCCGCUUCAUAUUCAGCUCUUCACGGGUCACGACUGUCGCUAUUCGUGGGCCGGGCUAAAUAACAUAUGGGCCAUCGAAAUACUUAUCUCCAUAUACGCAGAACAGAAAGAUCAAAAAUCUCACAAUGGAAGACAUGGACAUUGGCAUCGUCUGUGAGACGGUUCCCCAGGAUCAGCAGCAUCAAGGACAGCAACGCCUGCGCCCAAUGAGAAUGACUAUCUGAUAGUAAUUCCUUAAGCCCACAUAUUCGCCCUGGUGCUGAAAGCUCUGAAGUUACCCCCCGCAACUUAUUAUCACAAGAUAUGCCCAGGCGGAAAGAAUCGUGUGACGGUUACUUUCAUUUCUUCUUUGGAAUUGCUCGAUGGUGCACUUGUUCCAAGUUCUCUGUCAGGUGCAAUCUUAGAUAGCUAUGAAGAUGCUGAAGACAGUGCUGCUAUUGAAGCUAUUAGAUACAUGGAAAAUGCAUAUGGCAAAGAAAUGAGGGACUACCACUACACUCAUGUCAAGAAGCUUCAAAAUCAAGUGACGCACCUGGUCAAAUGGCUGGUUGCAUCAAAUAAAACAAUCAAGAAGCUGUGCAAAACAUGCUACUACGCUGUCAGGUAUAUGAGCUCAUAUUCUGCCCAAAUAGAAAACACAACGACUGCUCGGCAUUUGAAAGGGCGGGAUAGCAAAGGGAGUUAUGAAAACAGCGCUGGCAAGCAUUGAAGGACUGACGCAGAGGCUACGCUACAUUGCUAUGAAGUUUGAGCAGCGCCUCGAAGCAACCAGAAAUAGUUUCUGGUGAGAUUUGGUCAAUGUGUCCUGACGUAUCGAUCAGACAAGGAUCUUUCGCAUUUUGGCGUACUCCAAGCAAGAUAUGUGUACGCUUUAGUCUUAACUUGCUGCCUCUAUGCUGAAAAGUAGUGUAUGAUAUAGUCUACGAUCUUUAAACUUUGUUGUUAUCUCUGUACUCAGAAGCGGGUUAUCAUCGCUUACUGUAUAUAUGUGAAGGCCUCUUCUUCUGCUAUUCUUUCCA